Molecule: ribosomal RNA, 485 nt
Filed under: uncultured bacterium
Lineage: Bacteria
Description: partial 16S ribosomal RNA
Rfam family: Bacterial small subunit ribosomal RNA
Source: RNAcentral
GACGAACGCUGGCGGCGUGCUUAACACAUGCAAGUCGAACGGUGAAAGCGGAGCUUGCUCCGCUGGAUCAGUGGCGAACGGGUGAGUAACACGUGGGCAACCUGCCCCUCACUUCGGGAUAACUCCGGGAAACCGGGGCUAAUACCGGAAAUGACCUCCUUGGGCAUCCUUGGAGGUGGAAAGUUUUUCGGUGAGGGAUGGGCGCGCGGCCUAUCAGCUUGUUGGUGAGGUAGUGGCUCACCAAGGCGACGACGGGUAGCCGGCCUGAGAGGGCGACCGGCCACACUGGGACUGAGACACGGCCCAGACUCCUACGGGAGGCAGCAGUGGGGAAUAUUGCGCAAUGGGCGAAAGCCUGACGCAGCAACGCCGCGUGCGGGAUGACGGCCUUCGGGUUGUAAACCGCUUUCAGCAGGGAAGAAGCCGCAAGGUGACGGUACCUGCAGAAGAAGCACCGGCUAACUACGUGCCAGCCGCCGCCGUAA